RNAcentral lists this ribosomal RNA (433 nucleotides) under uncultured bacterium. RNAcentral's name for it is "partial 16S ribosomal RNA". It matches the Rfam family "Bacterial small subunit ribosomal RNA", at positions 29 to 507 of the family's 1533-position model. The record is from RNAcentral.
AACGAACGCUGGCGGCAUGCCUAACACAUGCAAGUCGAACGAGACCUUCGGGUCUAGUGGCGCACGGGUGCGUAACGCGUGGGAACCUGCCCUUAGGUUCGGAAUAACUCCCCGAAAGGGGUGCUAAUACCGGAUAAUGUCUUCGGACCAAAGAUUUAUCGCCUUUGGAUGGGCCCGCGUUGGAUUAGCUAGUUGGUAGGGUAAAAGCCUACCAAGGCGACGAUCCAUAGCUGGUCUGAGAGGAUGAUCAGCCACACUGGGACUGAGACACGGCCCAGACUCCUACGGGAGGCAGCAGUGGGGAAUAUUGGACGAUGGGCGAAAGCCUGAUGCAGCAAGGCCGCGUGAGUGAUGAAGGCCUUAGGGUUGUAAAGCUCUUUUACCCGAGAUGAUAAUGACAGUACCGGGAGAAUAAGCGCAGGCUAACUCCGUG